GAGAACCAAGAGAUCCGUUGUUGAAAGUUUUGAAUAUUAAAUUUUAUAGUAUAAUAGUUUUUCAUAAUACAAAAUAUUGUUUGUGUUUAUGUCCACUGGAGAGACGAGCUCUCCAGGGAAGUAGUUCAUAGAGAAAAAACUCCAUUGUGUUUAGGAUGAGAAAUAGAAAACUGAUAGCAGAGAAUCAAGAACUGGCCGCGCAAUUAAGCGCAGGCCUUGUUCAGACGAUUCCCCCAGUAAUCUAUUCAUUCAUAAUCUUUAAUGAUCCUU
Molecule: unclassified non-coding RNA, 270 nt
Filed under: uncultured Kluyveromyces
Lineage: Eukaryota; Fungi; Ascomycota; Saccharomycetes; Saccharomycetales; Saccharomycetaceae
Description: sequence contains ITS1
Source: RNAcentral